RNAcentral lists this ribosomal RNA (481 nucleotides) under uncultured bacterium. RNAcentral describes it as "bacterial SSU rRNA". It matches the Rfam family "Bacterial small subunit ribosomal RNA", at positions 28 to 526 of the family's 1533-position model. The record is from RNAcentral.
GACGAACGCUGGCGGCGUGCUUAACACAUGCAAGUCGAGCGGAAAGGCCCUUCGGGGUACUCGAGCGGCGAACGGGUGAGUAACACGUGAGUAACCUGCCCUGGACUUUGGGAUAACCCUCGGAAACGGGGGCUAAUACCGGAUACCUCCUUCUGGCCGCAUGGUUGGUUGGGGAAAGUUUUUCGGUCUGGGAUGGGCUCGCGGCCUAUCAGCUUGUUGGUGGGGUGAUGGCCUACCAAGGCGACGACGGGUAGCCGGCCUGAGAGGGCGACCGGCCACACUGGGACUGAGACACGGCCCAGACUCCUACGGGAGGCAGCAGUGGGGAAUAUUGCACAAUGGGCGGAAGCCUGAUGCAGCGACGCCGCGUGAGGGAUGACGGCCUUCGGGUUGUAAACCUCUUUCAGCAGGGACGAAGCGAGAGUGACGGUACCUGCAGAAGAAGCGCCGGCCAACUACGUGCCAGCAGCCGCCGUAACAC